RNAcentral lists this ribosomal RNA (890 nucleotides) under uncultured bacterium. Its description in RNAcentral is "bacterial SSU rRNA". It matches the Rfam family "Bacterial small subunit ribosomal RNA", at positions 76 to 949 of the family's 1533-position model. The record is from RNAcentral.
GAGCUUGCUCCCUGAUGUUAGCGGCGGACGGGUGAGUAACACGUGGGUAACCUGCCUGUAAGACUGGGAUAACUCCAGGAAACCGGGGCUAAUACCGGAUGCUUGUUUGAACCGCAUGGUUCAGAUAUAAAAGGUGGCUUCGGCUACCACUUACAGAUGGACCCGCGGCGCAUUAGCUAGUUGGUGAGGUAACGGCUCACCAAGGCGACGAUGCGUAGCCGACCUGAGAGGGUGAUCGGCCACACUGGGACUGAGACACGGCCCAGACUCCUACGGGAGGCAGCAGUAGGGAAUCUUCCGCAAUGGACGAAAGUCUGACGGAUCAACGCCGCGUGAGUGAUGAAGGUUUUCGGAUCGUAAAGCUCUGUUGUUAGGGAAGAACAAGUGCCGUUCAAAUAGGGCGGCACCUUGACGGUACCUAACCAGAAAGCCACGGCUAACUACGUGCCAGCAGCCGCGGUAAUACGUAGGUGGCAAGCGUUGUCCGGAAUUAUUCGGCGUAAAGGGCUCGCAAGCGGUUUCUUAAGUCUGAUGUGAAAGCCCCCGGCUCAAACGGGGAGGGUCAUUGGAAACUGGGGAACUUGAGUGCAGAAGAGGAGAGUGGAAUUCCACGUGUAGCGGUGAAAUGCGUAGAGAUGUGGAGGAACACCAGUGGCGAAGGCGACUCUCUGGUCUGUAACUGUCGCUGAGGAGCGAAAGCGUGGGGAGCGAACAGGAUUAGAUGCCCUGGUAGUCCACGCCGUAAACGAUGAGUGCUAAGUGUUAGGGGGUUCCCGCCCCUUAGUGCUGCAGCUAACGCAUUAAGCACUCCGCCUGGGGAGUACGGUCGCAAGACUGAAACUCAAAGGAAUUGACAGGGGCCCGCACAAGCGGUGGAGCAUGUGGUUUAA